This 253-nucleotide ribosomal RNA is filed under the name uncultured bacterium. RNAcentral describes it as "partial 16S ribosomal RNA". It matches the Rfam family "Bacterial small subunit ribosomal RNA", at positions 524 to 776 of the family's 1533-position model. The record is from RNAcentral.
UACGAAGGGGGCUAGCGUUGCUCGGAAUUACUGGGCGUAAAGCGUGCGCAGGCGGUUUUGUAAGUCUGUCGUGAAAUCCCCGGGCUUAACCUGGGAAUGGCGAUGGAGACUGCAAGGCUAGAGUUUGGCAGAGGGGGGUAGAAUUCCACGUGUAGCAGUGAAAUGCGUAGAGAUGUGGAGGAACACCGAUGGCGAAGGCAGCCCCCUGGGUCAAGACUGACGCUCAUGCACGAAAGCGUGGGGAGCAAACAGG